This 545-nucleotide ribosomal RNA is filed under the name uncultured bacterium. Its description in RNAcentral is "partial 16S ribosomal RNA". It matches the Rfam family "Bacterial small subunit ribosomal RNA", at positions 355 to 914 of the family's 1533-position model. The record is from RNAcentral.
UGGGGAAUAUUGCACAAUGGGCGAAAGCCUGAUGCAGCAACGCCGCGUGAGUGAUGAAGGUCUUCGGAUUGUAAAGCUCUGUCUUUUGGGACGAUAAUGACGGUACCAAAGGAGGAAGCCACGGCUAACUACGUGCCAGCAGCCGCGGUAAUACGUAGGUGGCGAGCGUUGUCCGGAUUUACUGGGCGUAAAGGGUGCGUAGGCGGAUGUUUAAGUGAGAUGUGAAAUACCCGGGCUUAACUUGGGUGCUGCAUUUCAAACUGGAUAUCUAGAGUGCAGGAGAGGAGAAUGGAAUUCCUAGUGUAGCGGUGAAAUGCGUAGAGAUUAGGAAGAACACCAGUGGCGAAGGCGAUUCUCUGGACUGUAACUGACGCUGAGGCACGAAAGCGUGGGUAGCAAACAGGAUUAGAUACCCUGGUAGUCCACGCCGUAAACGAUGAGUACUAGGUGUAGGAGGUAUCGACCCCUUCUGUGCCGCAGUAAACACAUUAAGUACUCCGCCUGGGAAGUACGAUCGCAAGAUUAAAAACUCUAAGUGAAUUGAC